RNAcentral lists this ribosomal RNA (687 nucleotides) under Enterobacter sp. RNAcentral describes it as "bacterial SSU rRNA". It matches the Rfam family "Bacterial small subunit ribosomal RNA", at positions 1 to 660 of the family's 1533-position model. Lineage: Bacteria; Pseudomonadati; Pseudomonadota; Gammaproteobacteria; Enterobacterales; Enterobacteriaceae. The record is from RNAcentral.
UCCGAACGCCUGCAGUCGACGAUUAGAGUUUGAUCCUGGCUCAGAUUGAACGCUGGCGGCAGGCCUAACACAUGCAAGUCGAGCGGCAGCGGGAAGUAGCUUGCUACUUUGCCGGCGAGCGGCGGACGGGUGAGUAAUGUCUGGGAAACUGCCUGAUGGAGGGGGAUAACUACUGGAAACGGUAGCUAAUACCGCAUAAUGUCGCAAGACCAAAGAGGGGGACCUUCGGGCCUCUUGCCAUUAGAUGUGCCCAGAUGGGAUUAGCUAGUAGGUGGGGUAACGGCUCACCUAGGCGACGAUCCCUAGCUGGUCUGAGAGGAUGACCAGCCACACUGGAACUGAGACACGGUCCAGACUCCUACGGGAGGCAGCAGUGGGGAAUAUUGCACAAUGGGCGCAAGCCUGAUGCAGCCAUGCCGCGUGUAUGAAGAAGGCCUUCGGGUUGUAAAGUACUUUCAGCGGGGAGGAAGGUGUUGAGGUUAAUAACCUCAGCAAUUGACGUUACCCGCAGAAGAAGCACCGGCUAACUCCGUGCCAGCAGCCGCGGUAAUACGGAGGGUGCAAGCGUUAAUCGGAAUUACUGGGCGUAAAGCGCACGCAGGCGGUCUGUCAAGUCGGAUGUGAAAUCCCCGGGCUCAACCUGGGAACUGCAUUCGAAACUGGCAGGCUAGAGUCUUGUAGAGGGGG